This 453-nucleotide ribosomal RNA is filed under the name uncultured bacterium. Its description in RNAcentral is "bacterial SSU rRNA". It matches the Rfam family "Bacterial small subunit ribosomal RNA", at positions 32 to 461 of the family's 1533-position model. The record is from RNAcentral.
AAUCAACGCUGGCGGCGUGCCUAACACAUGCAAGUCGAACGCGAAAGCCCCUUCGGGGGGUAAGUAGAGUGGCGUCCGGGUGAGUAACACGUGGGUAAUCUGCCUUCGGGUGGGGAAUAACUCAGGGAAACUUGAGCUAAUACCGCAUAAUGCAGCGGCACCUAAUGGUGAUUAGUUGUUAAAGCGGGGGAUCGCAAGACCUCGCGCCUGAAGAGGAGCCUGCGGCAGAUUAGCAGUUGGUAAGGUAAUGGCUUACCAAGGCUUCGAUCUGUAGCUGGUCUGUUAGAGGACGGCCAGCCACACUGGCACUGACACACGGGCCAGACUCCUACGGGAGGCAGCAGUGGGGGAAUUUUGGGCAAUGGGCGAAAGCCUGACCCAGCAACGCCGCGUGAGGGAGGAAAUCCUUCGGGAUGUAAACCCUCACAAGCAAGGGAAGAGAGCUGCGGGCUG